Molecule: long non-coding RNA, 1198 nt
Organism: Symphalangus syndactylus (siamang)
Lineage: Eukaryota; Metazoa; Chordata; Mammalia; Primates; Hylobatidae
Source: RefSeq, a predicted model, not a curated record
GAGAGAGCCGCUGGGAGGCGGGACAAAGGGAGUGCGCAUCCGCCCGGGGCGCGUUCUCAUGUCCCGGCCCUGCCUCGGCGUCUAGUAAUGGCGGAGGUGCUUUUAAUUUUUUUGAGGGCUGAGGAGCUCACUUCCGAAGGCGGUAACUGCAGCCUCCCUGCCCUUCCAAGGUGGUGCUGGAAGGACCUCUAGUCUUUCCUCGCGUUAGUCGUUACCUCUCGACCCUCAUCCCACUCCACGGCGGGACUUUGACAGGGUCGUGCAGUUAACCCCGGGGCCGCAAAGAGGGGAGUCAUUCCUUUCGUGCAUCCUGACACUCACACACAGGUUCUUCCCGGAGACGAAUGCUGCCAGUGCUGGUUACCCGCUCGGAUGCAUAGUUUCCAGUUUACAUUUAGAACCGACCUACCAGACUCCCUCCUCUACUCUUCCCACCACCACGACCCGCCUGCCCCGUUCCCCAGGCCUGAGAAGUUGCUGGCUGCGUGUUUCUGAUCAGUGUAACAGACAAAGCAACUCUCACAAAAGGAAGCCUUCAUCUUUUUAAAGUGGGGGUGAAAGCAGCAGGAGUGCAUAAAAUGGCAUAUUUCCUUUCUGAAGACAAAGGAGACAAAAAGUAGAGACGGGGUUUCACCAUGUUGGCCAGGAUGGUCUUGAUCUCUUGAACUUGUGGUCUGCCCACCUCAGCCUCCCAAAGGUAAUUAUUUUUAAAUAAUAUGUUGAGAUAACCUAAAAGAAAGUCACAUUUCAUAUUAAUUUUUCAUAUAUGUCUGGACUCUCUAUUCUGUUCCAUUUGUUUUUGUUUGUUUGUUUGUUUGUUUUUGAGAUGGUGUCUCACUCUGUCGCCCAGGCUGGAGUGCAGUGGCACGAUCUCGGCUCACUGCAACCUCUGCCUCGCAGGUUCAAGCUUUUCUCCUGCCUCAGCCUCCCUAGUAGCUGGGACUACAGGCAUGUACCACCAGGCCUGGCUAAUUUUUGUAUUUUGAGUAGAGACAGGGUUUCACCGUGUUGGCCAGGCUGGUCUCGAACUCUGACCACAAGUGAUCUGCCUACCUCAGCCUCCAAAAGUGCUGGGAUUACAGGCGUGAGCCACCGCGCCCAGCCUGCUCCAUUUCUUAAAUGGAAUUUGUGAAUUAUUUGAGGACAACCUUCUAAAAAUGAAAUGAAAACAGUAUUUAUGAUCUGUAAAUUUUUUUUU